Daphnia pulex (common water flea) is the source of this 403-nucleotide long non-coding RNA. RefSeq lists it as uncharacterized. The record is from RefSeq and is a predicted model, not a curated record. Lineage: Eukaryota; Metazoa; Arthropoda; Branchiopoda; Diplostraca; Daphniidae. The transcript has 3 exons.
AACUUACAAUUCCCACGAAAACUUUUAAAAAUUGACAGUACCUCCUUUAUGUUUUAUAACGUAUCAAGAUGCUUCAACUACAGCCUCGACCCUAUCAGUGAAGUGUGCGCAGAAAACUGUGCUGAAGAAAUACAACCAGUGGUUAACAGGAAUUAUUCCAAUAAUUCUGAUGAUGAGAAAGACUCCCAUGGUUUAGAAGAGGGGGAGUAUUGUGUGGAUAAAGAAAGCGAUAAGGAUGAGCAAGAUGAAGAUAUUGGGGCUCAGCAGAAUCCAAAAUGGCCAAGGAGAUGAGGAAGGUCAGUGAAUGGAGGUGAAACUAAACAACAAACAGCAGAAGAGGAAUGCUAGAAAGGAGAGAUGGCUGGAAAAAAAUAGGCAGGAAGAAGAUGAACAUGAACAUGAA